UCAUCCUCACUUCCGCAUUGAACAGCAAGGAUGGAACAGCUGACCGAAACUAAACGAUCAACGAUAUGCUCACAGAUAUUCGUACAUAAAAGUUUCUAUCAGAUGUUCCAUCCUAUGUUUAUCAAUUGAAAGAUAGGAUUAAAGUCAUUCACCAGAUCAACGCAUCAAGGAGGCUUCGGUGUUUUGUGUGUUUAGGAAUUGGUCUAAGAGCGGAGGAGAUUGAAGGGUUUGGUGUUCUAGUGUAUAUUAUUAUCACUUGAGCAGGAGUAGGAAUGAGAUAGAGAGAGUAAAAUGGUUUUGACCUGGUUUUCUAAUAAAUUUCGGAUCUGGCUUGUACGCGGUACUGUGCAUUAAGGCCAAGAUUUUUUCAGGCUUUUUAAAAUUAAUAAAUAAAUAAAAGACCAAACAUGUGAAAUGUGUCAUUUAUCAUCUGAGAAAAACAAAAUUUUUUAAAAAAAUGCUAUUAAAUAUUUUUAAAUUAUAUUAUUUUUUUUUUCUUUUAAAAUAAACAAAUAGAUGUGAAUGUGUUACCUAAACAAGAAUACUAAGAAAAUGUUACUUGAAAAUAUUAAAUAUUAUUUCUCAUUUUUUAAUAGCAUUUAUAUUUAACAUAAUUUUUUAAUUGUAUUAAAAAAAACAUGUGAAAAGUACGUACUUUUUAUAUGCUUUAAGAAAAUAUAUUAUUUUAUUAAAUUGAUUUAUAAAAAUUAAUUACUUAAUUACAUCUGUCCGGCAAUGAAACCAAACAAUUAUUUUUUAUUAUAGGAAUGCUGGGCAUGAGGUUUUUUGGGUUUUUGGACCGAAGGAAUUUUUCACGGAAGUUGGUUUUUUAUUUUUAUUUUUAUUUUUACUGUUUGAUUGUUUUUUUUAAUUAAAAAGGCUCGAGAAAAUCAUGGCCAUACAUGCAAAUUGCAAAGUACCCAUACAAGCCAAAUCCAUAAAUUUCUUUCCUGCGUUGUGUCAUUAAAGCAGGGGAGAGAAAGGCAAAUCUGAGAGAGAUUGAAUUACUGAACCGGUUGCGAGCUUCAUUUGUUUUUUUGAAAUAUUCAUAAAUUGCUUUCAAAUUUUCAUGCAAUUUAAAUAAUUUUUUAAUAUUUAUUUCUUCAAAUUUUCAAUUUUUCUUAUUAAAUCCUUCUCUAAUAAGAUUUUUUGUUAAAAUUUAAAGACUCUUUAUAAAAUUUCUCAUUUAUUUUUUUAGAAAUGCUUGAGCUCAUUCUUGAGCCCAUUUCAAGACAUGGGCUCAAGCAUUAUUCUUGUAUUUUAAUAAAAAGAAGAAUGAUAUAUGUGACUCACACAAUUUAAAGAUACAUUUGAAAAGUCAAUAGAAUGAGAUAUGCGAGAAAUGAAUAGGAGAAUAAUGUAUAUUAUUGCUCUUUAAAAUUUUUUUUUAUUAAAAACGUAGCAUAUUACAGUUAAUAAUUGAGCAUAUUUUCAUUAGGUUUUCUCUUUUAUAUUGUAAAAAAACUUUGAGUAAAAAAUUAUCAUUUUAUAAAGAAUAAGCAUCUCUGUAAAAAUGAAGAUGAGCCUUUUGGAAUGAAAAUUCUUCUUGGCUGCCUCAAUAACAAGUUAACUUUUUAAUAUGUGACAUUUUUUAAGCGUUGUGAUGCUUAGAAACAAUUAAAAUUACAUAAUUUGAGAAUUUAUAAUUUUUUUUGAAAUUGUAGAUUCGAAAAAAAUACGGAUAGUGUUUGGCAAAGGGCUUGGGUUUGUUAAACCAAAAAAAAAAAAA
RNAcentral lists this non-coding RNA (1729 nucleotides) under Betula luminifera. The record is from RNAcentral. Lineage: Eukaryota; Viridiplantae; Streptophyta; Magnoliopsida; Fagales; Betulaceae.